Molecule: non-coding RNA, 45 nt
Organism: Picea glauca (white spruce)
Lineage: Eukaryota; Viridiplantae; Streptophyta; Pinopsida; Pinales; Pinaceae
Source: Rfam
AUAAUGGUGUCUUUAGACACCACCUUUUGUUUAAAAAAAAAAAUG